CGCGGUAAUUUGACCGUGCUAAGGUAGCAUAAUCAUUUGUCUUUUAAUUGAAGACUGGAAUGAAAGGUAGAACGAGAGAUAUACUGUCUUAAUAAAAUAAAUUGAAAUUUAUUUUUCAGUGAAAAAGCUGAAAUAAUUUUGUGGGACGAUAAGACCCUAUAGAUCUUAAUUAUUAUUAAUAUUUAUUUAUUAUAAUUAAUUUUAUUGGGGCGAUGAAAAGAAAGUAUUAUCUCUUUUAUAAUGAAAAUAUUUAUUUAUAGAUUCAUUAAUGAUCCUAGAUGAUGGAAAAUUAGAAUAAGUUACCUUAGGGAUAACAGCGUUAUAUUUUUUGAGAGUUCUUAUCGAAAGAAAUGUUUGCGACCUCGAUGUU
RNAcentral lists this ribosomal RNA (370 nucleotides) under Lynceus gracilicornis. RNAcentral's name for it is "partial large subunit ribosomal RNA". It matches the Rfam family "Bacterial large subunit ribosomal RNA", at positions 1932 to 2533 of the family's 2925-position model. The record is from RNAcentral. Lineage: Eukaryota; Metazoa; Arthropoda; Branchiopoda; Diplostraca; Lynceidae.